AUACGUAGGGUGCGAGCGUUGUCCGGAAUUACUGGGCGUAAAGAGCUCGUAGGUGGUUUGUCGCGUCGUCUGUGAAAUUCCGGGGCUUAACUCCGGGCGUGCAGGCGAUACGGGCAUAACUUGAGUACUGUAGGGGAGACUGGAAUUCCUGGUGUAGCGGUGAAAUGCGCAGAUAUCAGGAGGAACACCGGUGGCGAAGGCGGGUCGCUGGGCAGUAACUGACGCUGAGGAGCGAAAGCAUGGGUAGCGAACAGGAUUAGAUCCCCUGGUAGUCCAUGCCGUAAACGGUGGGCGCUAGGUGUAGGGGUCUUCCACGACUUCUGUGCCGUAGCUAACGCAUUAAGCGCCCCGCCUGGGGAGUACGGCCGCAAGGCUAAAACUCAAAUGAAUUGACGGGG
This 398-nucleotide ribosomal RNA is filed under the name uncultured bacterium. Its description in RNAcentral is "partial 16S ribosomal RNA". It matches the Rfam family "Bacterial small subunit ribosomal RNA", at positions 523 to 918 of the family's 1533-position model. The record is from RNAcentral.